AUAACGAAUUUAAUUAAAUGUUUUAUCAUUAUAUAUAAAGAAUUUAUGGCAAGAUAAAGUUAUAUACAACCUCAACUCAUAUGGGACUACCCCCUGAAUUUAAGCAUAUUAAUUAGGGGAGGAAAAGAAACUAACAAGGAUUUUCUUAGUAGCGGCGAGCGAAAAGAAAACAGUUCAGCACUAAGUCACUUUGUCUAUAUGGCAAAUGUGAGAUGCAGUGUAUGGAGCGUCAAUAUUCUAGUAUGAGAAAUUAACGAUUUAAGUCCUUCUUAAAUGAGGCCAUUUACCCAUAGAGGGUGCCAGGCCCGUAUAACGUUAAUGAUUACUAGAUGAUGUUUCCAAAGAGUCGUGUUGCUUGAUAGUGCAGCACUAAGUGGGUGGUAAACUCCAUCUAAAACUAAAUAUAACCAUGAGACCGAUAGUAAACAAGUACCGUGAGGGAAAGUUGAAAAGAACUCUGAAUAGAGAGUUAAACAGUACGUGAAACUGCUUAGAGGUUAAGCCCGAUGAACCUGAAUAUCCGUUAUGGAAAAUUCAUCAUUAAAAUUGUAAUAUUUAAAUAAUAUUAUGAGAAUAGUGUGCAUUUUUUCCAUAUAAGGACAUUGUAAUCUAUUAGCAUAUACCAAAUUUAUCAUAAAAUAUAACUUAUAGUUUAUUCCAAUUAAAUUGCUUGCAUUUUAACACAGAAUAAAUGUUAUUAAUUUGAUAAAGUGCUGAUAGAUUUAUAUGAUUACAGUGCGUUAAUUUUUCGGAAUUAUAUAAUGGCAUAAUUAUCAUUGAUUUUUGUGUUUAUUAUAUGCACUUGUAUGAUUAACAAUGCGAAAGAUUCAGGAUACCUUCGGGACCCGUCUUGAAACACGGACCAAGGAGUCUAACAUAUGUGCAAGUUAUUGGGAUAUAAACCUAAUAGCGUAAUUAACUUGACUAAUAAUGGGAUUAGUUUUUUAGCUAUUUAUAGCUAAUUAACACAAUCCCGGGGCGUUCUAUAUAGUUAUGUAUAAUGUAUAUUUAUAUUAUUUAUGCCUCUAACUGGAACGUACCUUGAGCAUAUAUGCUGUGACCCGAAAGAUGGUGAACUAUACUUGAUCAGGUUGAAGUCAGGGGAAACCCUGAUGGAAGACCGAAACAGUUCUGACGUGCAAAUCGAUUGUCAGAAUUGAGUAUAGGGGCGAAAGACCAAUCGAACCAUCUAGUAGCUGGUUCCUUCCGAAGUUUCCCUCAGGAUAGCUGGUGCAUUUUAAUAUUAUAUAAAAUAAUCUUAUCUGGUAAAGCGAAUGAUUAGAGGCCUUAGGGUCGAAACGAUCUUAACCUAUUCUCAAACUUUAAAUGGGUAAGAACCUUAACUUUCUUGAUAUGAAGUUCAAGGUUAUGAUAUAAUGUGCCCAGUGGGCCACUUUUGGUAAGCAGAACUGGCGCUGUGGGAUGAACCAAACGUAAUGUUACGGUGCCCAAAUUAACAACUCAUGCAGAUACCAUGAAAGGCGUUGGUUGCUUAAAACAGCAGGACGGUGAUCAUGGAAGUCGAAAUCCGCUAAGGAGUGUGUAACAACUCACCUGCCGAAGCAACUAGCCCUUAAAAUGGAUGGCGCUUAAGUUGUAUACCUAUACAUUACCGCUAAAGUAGAUGAUUUAUAUUACUUGUGAUAUAAAUUUUGAAACUUUAGUGAGUAGGAAGGUACAAUGGUAUGCGUAGAAGUGUUUGGCGUAAGCCUGCAUGGAGCUGCCAUUGGUACAGAUCUUGGUGGUAGUAGCAAAUAAUCGAAUGAGACCUUGGAGGACUGAAGUGGAGAAGGGUUUCGUGUGAACAGUGGUUGAUCACGAGUUAGUCGGUCCUAAGUUCAAGGCGAAAGCCGAAAAUUUUCAAGUAAAACAAAAAUGCCUAACUAUAUAAACAAAGCGAAUUAUAAUACACUUGAAUAAUUUUGAACGAAAGGGAAUACGGUUCCAAUUCCGUAACCUGUUGAGUAUCCGUUUGUUAUUAAAUAUGGGCCUCGUGCUCAUCCUGGCAACAGGAACGACCAUAAAGAAGCCGUCGAGAGAUAUCGGAAGAGUUUUCUUUUCUGUUUUAUAGCCGUACUACCAUGGAAGUCUUUCGCAGAGAGAUAUGGUAGAUGGGCUAGAAGAGCAUGACAUAUACUGUUGUGUCGAUAUUUUCUCCUCGGACCUUGAAAAUUUAUGGUGGGGACACGCAAACUUCUCAACAGGCCGUACCAAUAUCCGCAGCUGGUCUCCAAGGUGAAGAGUCUCUAGUCGAUAGAAUAAUGUAGGUAAGGGAAGUCGGCAAAUUAGAUCCGUAACUUCGGGAUAAGGAUUGGCUCUGAAGAUUGAGAUAGUCGGGCUUGAUUGGGAAACAAUAACAUGGUUUAUGUGCUCGUUCUGGGUAAAUAGAGUUUCUAGCAUUUAUGUUAGUUACUUGUUCCCCGGAUAGUUUAGUUACGUAGCCAAUUGUGGAACUUUCUUGCUAAAAUUUUUAAGAAUACUAUUUGGGUUAAACCAAUUAGUUCUUAUUAAUUAUAACGAUUAUCAAUUAACAAUCAAUUCAGAACUGGCACGGACUUGGGGAAUCCGACUGUCUAAUUAAAACAAAGCAUUGUGAUGGCCCUAGCGGGUGUUGACACAAUGUGAUUUCUGCCCAGUGCUCUGAAUGUCAAAGUGAAGAAAUUCAAGUAAGCGCGGGUCAACGGCGGGAGUAACUAUGACUCUCUUAAGGGAGCUGCAAACUAUCAUUGAUAGGGCACAUCUCGAGGGAAAGGAAACCACUCUCCAAUGCUUAUCGCUAUAUCUCCUGGGAAUUUUUCCGGCACAGGGUGUACGACACACACUGACGAGACCUCCUCGGAGACCUCGGAACAGGAGAGAAAGCAGAAGGCAGCAGUACGCUGUCGUCCAGCGUAACUGGGAUAAGCAUAAAGGAAGAUGCAUCAAGUCCUUGCUAAAUGGAACUGAUGAGUCGGUAAUGCCAAGCCAAGAAAUAAUGGUUCCCUACUGGAGAGAAGUAAUGACUCAGCCUAGCCCAAGCUCUUGCAGUGGAGAAGUGAUACAAAUGGAUCACUCGCUUGAGAGGGUAUGGUCUGCUAUUACAGAGCAGGACCUUCGGGCGUCAAGAGUCUCAUUAUCCUCGUCUCCGGGGCCUGACGGAUAACUCCAAAAUCUGCCAGGGAGGUGCCGUCAGGUAUUAUGCUGCGCAUAAUGAACCUAAUUCUAUGGUGCGGUAAUCUACCACACUCUAUACGACUGGCCAGAACCGUCUUCAUCCCGAAGACGGUGACGGCGAAGCGACCGCAAGACUUUCGUCCAAUAUCAGUGCCUUCAGUCCUGGUAAGACAGCUAAAUGCAAUAUUGGCAACCCGGUUGAACUCAUCAAUCAAUUGGGACCCGC
Molecule: ribosomal RNA, 3379 nt
Filed under: Drosophila melanogaster (fruit fly)
Lineage: Eukaryota; Metazoa; Arthropoda; Insecta; Diptera; Drosophilidae
Description: eukaryotic LSU rRNA
Rfam family: Eukaryotic large subunit ribosomal RNA
Source: RNAcentral